RNAcentral lists this ribosomal RNA (577 nucleotides) under uncultured bacterium. RNAcentral's name for it is "partial 16S ribosomal RNA". It matches the Rfam family "Bacterial small subunit ribosomal RNA", at positions 355 to 923 of the family's 1533-position model. The record is from RNAcentral.
UGGGGAAUUUUGGACAAUGGGCGCAAGCCUGAUCCAGCAAUGCCGCGUGCAGGAUGAAGGCCUUCGGGUUGUAAACUGCUUUUGUACGGAACGAAAAGGCUCUGGCUAAUACCUGGGGCACAUGACGGUACCGUAAGAAUAAGCACCGGCUAACUACGUGCCAGCAGCCGCGGUAAUACGUAGGGUGCGAGCGUUAAUCGGAAUUACUGGGCGUAAAGCGUGCGCAGGCGGUUUUGUAAGACAGAGGUGAAAUCCCCGGGCUCAACCUGGGAACUGCCUUUGUGACUGCAAGGCUGGAGUGCGGCAGAGGGGGAUGGAAUUCCGCGUGUAGCAGUGAAAUGCGUAGAUAUGCGGAGGAACACCGAUGGCGAAGGCAAUCCCCUGGGCCUGCACUGACGCUCAUGCACGAAAGCGUGGGGAGCAAACAGGAUUAGAUACCCUGGUAGUCCACGCCCUAAAGCGAUGUCAACUGGCUUGUUGGGUCUUAAUUGACUCAGUAACGAAGCUAACGCGUGAAGUUGACCGCCUGGGGAGUACGGCCGCAAGGUUGAAACUCAAAUGAAUUGACGGGGUCAUA